GCAUGCACUUUUCUAUUUGGUGCUUGUAGACGUUAUGGGAAAGUUGUCUCUCUCACUAGAUCUCUCUCCCCAUCCCUCCCUCCCUUCCUCCUCCUCCUCCUCCUCCUCCUCCUCCUCCUCCCCCUUCUCUUCGUCUAUCAUGUGCUUGGGAUAUGCUCAUGCUUUGCACAGAGCAGCCGAAGCACGCCUAAAUGCAGGCUACUGUGUGUUAGCGGCAAUUUUAAAGUGAUGCCCCCCCCACCAAAUAAUACGGCUGGGAUAUUUGAGGGGAACAUAUACCACAUCACGGUACACACGGACCCAACUGAACACCGCUCUUCUUUUCCUGCUUGGGACGCUUUCUGGUCGAUUGCAGUGAUUUGACUGACCUUUAGGAAUGAUGGAGAAAGGGAGCUGUGGAGAGCUACAGGCAGCAGGAAGUAGAGGUCAAAACGAGAUCUCUGGGAUUUUGCUCUCUACUGGAACCACAUGAGGUUGGAAUGGAGACCUUGUAGAUCAUGACCCAGAAACAAAUGGCAAGAUGACUGGAGUCUCCAGGCUAAAGAUGUCAAGGAUAUUCAGCUGAUCUCAGAGGUUGAUGAGGUCCUGAUCAACCAUGGAGCCUGCAUUUCAUCAAGAUGAGCUUCAAGAUGUCCAUGAGCUUCACAUUACUCUUUACAACACUUGGACCUGCACUGUACUCUUUAUUUCUGUAUUUGUGUCAACUGGUUAUAUACGAUUAUUGGCCAAACUGACUAAUACUGUGACCUUGCACUAAUAUACAACUGUAUCUAUAUAGAUUUAUUAUUUUUAUAUGGAAGAAUACUUAAUAAGAAAAUAUGAUGAAAAUAUUCUUCACAUUGUAACUUGGAUUUAUUUCAUGGAAUUGAUUGAUUCUAACAAGUCUACAUUUUGACAGCUAAAUAAAAGGCACUUUCCCUUAAA
Molecule: long non-coding RNA, 924 nt
Organism: Sander lucioperca (pikeperch)
Lineage: Eukaryota; Metazoa; Chordata; Actinopteri; Perciformes; Percidae
Exons: 4
Source: RefSeq, a predicted model, not a curated record